Molecule: ribosomal RNA, 250 nt
Filed under: uncultured Streptococcus sp.
Lineage: Bacteria; Bacillati; Bacillota; Bacilli; Lactobacillales; Streptococcaceae
Description: partial 16S ribosomal RNA
Rfam family: Bacterial small subunit ribosomal RNA
Source: RNAcentral
GUGGCGAACGGGUGAGUAACACGUGGGUAACCUGCCCAUCAGAGGGGGGAUAACUAUUGGAAACGAUAGCUAAUACCGCAUAAGAGUAGAUGUUGCAUGACAUUUGCUUAAAAGGUGCAAUUGCAUCACUACCAGAUGGACCUGCGUUGUAUUAGCUAGUUGGUGGGGUAACGGCUCACCAAGGCGACGAUACAUAGCCGACCUGAGAGGGUGAUCGGCCACACUGGGACUGAGACACGGCCCAGACUCC